UGUUUCAGUUUAAAAUACGAUAUAUAUAUAAAAACAUUGCAUGUUGCAAACUCGUCGAUAUUUGAAGAGGUUGACAAUCUGAAAGAUAAUGCAUUCGUCUUGUUCGCAUUGGUCAAAGAACUUUCAGAAACCGACAAAGAUUCAAUUUUUCGCGGCGGGUGUGAGAACUGAAUUUCAACUUCUCUCAUGCAAGCUGACGUCAUCAUGGGCUGACGCAUACUCGGAAGAUCUCAAAUAUAUCAUCAACUUCAAAAAGGUAAAGAAAAUUUCCUGAUGUUCGAGUGUUUAAGAAGACCAGCUAGGACAUCAAUCAACUAAGGUCCACUGAACGUAUCGGUUCGCUUGUCGUUUAUGUUCGUUAUACGAACACUUCUUGAUGUAGAAUCAGAGCCAUCGGGCGAAGCGCAAAGGGCGCGAAGAUGGAAGAUAGGACUCUACGCUUCGCUAGAUGGAUAUUUCACUUGUGUGGUACUUGAAAAUACUUCUCGUCUGUCGAUUUAUUAGUUAGUCAGCCAGGAAUGAUUAGAUAGGUUUCGACAGACGAAUCUAGACUAGGGGUUUAAUUGGCUGUUAUUAGGACUGUUUAUAAUGGAACACUUAAAAUAUCAAAUUUUUUAUGUGAUGAUU
Non-coding RNA from Styela clava, 627 nucleotides. Lineage: Eukaryota; Metazoa; Chordata; Ascidiacea; Stolidobranchia; Styelidae. The record is from RefSeq and is a predicted model, not a curated record.